GUGCUCGCUUCGGCAGCGCAUAUACUGAAAUUGGAACGAUACAGAGAUUAGCGCGGCCCCUGCGCAACGGUGACACGCAAAUUCGUGAAGCGUUCCACGUUUAA
Physeter macrocephalus (sperm whale) is the source of this 104-nucleotide small nuclear RNA. NCBI's taxonomy places the organism in Eukaryota, Metazoa, Chordata, Mammalia, Artiodactyla, Physeteridae. The record is from Ensembl.